UUUAUGGAGAGUUUGAUCCUGGCUCAGGAUGAACGCUGGCGGCGUGCCUAAUACAUGCAAGUCGAGCGAACGGACGAGAAGCUUGCUUCUCUGAUGUUAGCGGCGGACGGGUGAGUAACACGUGGAUAACCUACCUAUAAGACUGGGAUAACUUCGGGAAACCGGAGCUAAUACCGGAUAAUAUUUUGAACCGCAUGGUUCAAAAGUAAAAGACGGUCUUGCUGUCACUUAUAGAUGGAUCCGCGCUGCAUUAGCUAGUUGGUAAGGUAAC
This 271-nucleotide ribosomal RNA is filed under the name Staphylococcus aureus. Its description in RNAcentral is "partial 16S ribosomal RNA". It matches the Rfam family "Bacterial small subunit ribosomal RNA", at positions 1 to 261 of the family's 1533-position model. The record is from RNAcentral. Lineage: Bacteria; Bacillati; Bacillota; Bacilli; Caryophanales; Staphylococcaceae.